GGGCCCGCACAAGCGGUGGAGUAUGUGGUUUAAUUCGAAGCAACGCGCAGAACCUUACCAGCCCUUGACAUGUUAGGUUUGAUUACCAGAGAUGGUUUUCUUCAGUUCGGCUGGCCUAAACACAGGUGCUGCAUGGCUGUCGUCAGCUCGUGUCGUGAGAUGUUGGUUAAGUCCCGCAACGAGCGCAACCCUCAUCUUCUGUUGCCAGCGGUUCGGCCGGGCACUCUGGAGAAACUGCCUGCGAUGAGCAGGAGGAAGGCGGGGAUGACGUCAAGUCCUCAUGGCCCUUAUGGGCUGGGCUACACACGUACUACAAUGGCGGUGACAAUAGGGCAGCGACAGGGCGACCUGAAGCAAA
Molecule: ribosomal RNA, 358 nt
Filed under: uncultured bacterium
Lineage: Bacteria
Description: bacterial SSU rRNA
Rfam family: Bacterial small subunit ribosomal RNA
Source: RNAcentral